This is a long non-coding RNA of Pogoniulus pusillus (Red-fronted tinkerbird), 2264 nucleotides long. RefSeq lists it as uncharacterized. NCBI's taxonomy places the organism in Eukaryota, Metazoa, Chordata, Aves, Piciformes, Lybiidae. The record is from RefSeq and is a predicted model, not a curated record. The transcript has 2 exons.
GAGCUGAGCGAGCGCCGAGCCGCCUUACGCUCCCGCGGAGCCCAGCGAGCGCCGAGCCGCCUUGCGCGCCCCGCGGAGCCGAGCGAGCGCCGAGCCGCCGUACGCGCCCUCCGCUCGCCCGCUCACGCAGUUGAGCCGGCAGGAGAGUGGGACCCGAACAGAGCGGCACAGCUCCUCCGCUGCCCGGCGUCCCGGGGCCUGCCGCGGCGGGUUGGCGCUGGGCUUUCGCCUGCCGCAGCUCCCAUGCCCCCGCCCGUGAAUGAGGCGUUUGGGUCCCAUUCAUAAGCGCCGCUUCAUUCACGGAGCCGCCGCCCAGGGCGCGGAGCCGCUUCCCGUCGGCUUGCAGGCCCCACGGGCGGCUAACACGCCAGCCUGUCCCCGCCGGGGUGAGGAAGACUGGGCCCUUCUCCCCGCCGCCGGUUCACCGGCUGCCCUUCUCCGCCAGGUGUGGGCUCUGAGGCGGGGAGAUGAAGGCGCUGCUGAGUUGGUCGUUUCCAUACCGUCGGGCCCGCAAGUGGGCCGAAGCCUGGCGCUGCUUGUCAUCAGCAGGGAAUCAUUUGGUGCCCACGUCCCUCAGAAUGAGUGAGAGCUCUUUAGAGAGGACAUAAACACCACUUCAAGGCAGGCACUUGGCGGGAUCCUUGCAGGAAGCCAAAUGGGUUGCGGCACACGCCGAGCAUCCCACUGACAAGCCCUGCUGCCUGCGCUGCUCCCCGACAGCUUCACAUGCUGAUGCCUCUGGAGCACUGCUCCAAGUGGAGGGAAACGAUGGACCCAGAGAGAGAGGCAGGAUAAUCCCUCCUGCCUUUCCUAGCAUCGCUACAGGUUUCCAUCCUGUUCUUCCUCGUGUGAUGUCUGAAUUUACUUUGUUUUGGGGAUGCACCUGGGAAAAAAACCCUCCCUUUUAUGGCAGCAAGGAAUGUGCGUCGUCUUUUCAGUGAGGUAUGCAAGCCCUGAACACUGUGGUUCAGCCCUGUUUAAGAACGGGAAGGCUUACAAUGUACUGCGGUUCUUGGAUGCCCAAGGGAAAGAGAUUUCUUUGUUAUUGUUGGUCACAGAACUGCCAAAUGUUAUCUUGUAAAUCUGUGUCUUUCACAAUGGAUGAGGUGAGAAAUAACCUUUUUCAUUAGGGUUAUUCUCUUUGGCUUAGGUGGUAAUAUCCAUGGUGUUGAGGUAUAGCUGCAGUGCUCUCCUGGUUGUUUGAGCACCAAGGAGAGACAUUUCACACCGCACAAGUUGUGCACUGAACACAAAAUAUGAUCCCCACAGCUCUCCCAUAAAAAUAAGUACAGAGUGGGAAAACAAACAAUAUGAAUUAGACUCAUUUUUUUUUUUUCUCUUCUAGUAAAGGCUUCAGAUUGCUCAGAAAGAGUUUUCUUGGUGCUGAGAAAAUAGGUUGUAACUGAUGGGGCCUAUCCUCCAAAAGGGAACGAUGCUUUUGAAGUCGUUUCCUUGUAGGUGAGAAAUAAACAUCGUGGAUUGAUGGUUGGAAAACCAAAAAGUGAGCUUGCACCCUGAAAAUCUAGUGCAAAACUGGCACAGGCUUAAUGAGGAAGCAAGAUGCAAGCCAGUGGGUUUUAUCUGAGGUUAAUGUCCCAUUUUUCAGUGUUGUGAACUGCCAGGGCAGGGAGGAGGGGGGGAGUGUGUUUGUCUCUUUUCAAUGGGUAAUUUACAGGGUUAGGAAGAUUCUGCAAAACUCUGUUCAUUUUGAGGAGAAAUGAAGCAAAUGCAAAUGGGUCCCUGAGGUUUGGAGAGUUCUGUGUGCAACAUAAUAGAGCCAAACUUCUCCAUUCUGCUGCUCUUCCUUCAGAAAGGAAAAGCUCUCACUAAGUCUGUAGCAGGACUUUAAAGGACUGCAAUCGAAUAAACUUAAAGGCUCUUGGGGUUCUGUUUUGAGGUUUCUUUAACAGAGGAGACAAUUUUAUGACUACUCUGUGUGUGAAAUCACUAAAAAGCUUCACACACAUAAAUGUAGAGUGCUACCUGGACCCAGCUCAGAACCCAUCUGUGUCUUUAACACAGGAACAAGGCUCCCUCACCGUCCUUACAGAAUCUGCUAACCAAAGCUGCUGCCAGGUUGGUUCCCAACCAGCCUGGCCAGUUUCAGUGAGCCAUAUGAAGACUAUUUUGUUUUCUCCUUCUGUUUUAAUGCAAGCAGACGUGAGUCACUAGGUGAAUUGGCACACAGCAUUAGCUCUAGCAUGGCAUGUGGCAGAAUUACUGUGCUACUACCCUGUGGACUUGCUCCUGCACGGCAGCUCCAA